AAGUAAAAGUCGUAACAAGGUUUCCGUAGGUGAACCUGCGGAAAGGAUCAUUACCGAAUUGUCAAACGGGUUGUUGCUGGUCCUUGAAAGGGGACAUGUGCACGCUCUGUUUACACAUCCACUCACACCUGUGCACCCUCCGUAGUUCUAUGGUCUGGGAGACCUUGUCUUCCUGCCGUGGUUCUACGUCUUUACACACACACUGUAACAAAGUCUUAAGGAAUGUAUGCAGCGUCUAACGCAAUACAAUACAACUUUCAGCAACGGAUCUCUUGGCUCUCGCAUCGAUGAAGAACGCAGCGAAAUGCGAUAAGUAAUGUGAAUUGCAGAAUUCAGUGAAUCAUCGAAUCUUUGAACGCACCUUGCGCCCCUUGGCUAUUCCGAGGGGCAUGCCUGUUUGAGUAUCAUGAACACCUCAACUCUCAUGGUUCGCCGUGAUGAGCUUGGACUCUGGGGGAUUUGCUGGCCUGCGGUCAGCUCCCCUCAAAUGAAUCAGCCUCCCAGUGUUUGGUGGCAUCACGGGUGUGAUAAAUAUCUACGCUCGUGGUUGCCUGCCAGGUAACCUUUGGUGACAAAGGUUUGCUGGAGCUUACAGAUGUCUCUCCUCAGCGAGGACAGCUUUUUGGACGUUCGAUCUCAAAUCAGGUAGGACUACCCGCUGAACUUAAGCAUAUCAAUAAGCGGAGG
This 687-nucleotide ribosomal RNA is filed under the name Tomentella sublilacina. RNAcentral describes it as "eukaryotic LSU rRNA". The stretch from base 253 to 407 matches the Rfam family "5.8S ribosomal RNA". Lineage: Eukaryota; Fungi; Basidiomycota; Agaricomycetes; Thelephorales; Thelephoraceae. The record is from RNAcentral.